Long non-coding RNA from Bubalus bubalis (water buffalo), 466 nucleotides. RefSeq lists it as uncharacterized. The transcript is spliced from 3 exons. The record is from RefSeq and is a predicted model, not a curated record. NCBI's taxonomy places the organism in Eukaryota, Metazoa, Chordata, Mammalia, Artiodactyla, Bovidae.
UGCACCAGCAGAUGAGCCCUUUAAAGGGAUUGCAUCAGGCUGAUGACUCACUGGGGCCCUCUGAGAGCCUGGCUUCCCUCCGCUGGCAUGCAGAAGCAGCUAGAAGGGCGCCGUGGUGGCAGUACCCGCGAUCAUGGACCCACUCCUUUGUCUCCGAGCGUCAUAUUACAGCUAUGAGAGCUUGUGAUCAGGAAGAGGAAGCCAGUGGCCCAUCAUGCUGUUGGUAGAAUUCCAGCCUGAAGCAGAGUUUCCUGUGACUUGAAUUUGUCUCCAUGGAUGUAAACCAGAGUGACAAACCUGGUGGAAGAGGAUGAGGGGAUCUGAUCCUGUUUAGACUUAGGUAUCUUCAGGAUCUGAUUGCGAUGCUAAAAUUUGUUUCUUGCCUACCGAGAUCUGGAUGUAAGGAAAAAAGUGAGUUAAUCUUGCAUGGCAUGACUUAAGGGCUAAAUACAUUUCCUCCCUUUCU